Pseudophryne corroboree (corroboree frog) is the source of this 872-nucleotide long non-coding RNA. RefSeq lists it as uncharacterized. The transcript has 4 exons. The record is from RefSeq and is a predicted model, not a curated record. NCBI's taxonomy places the organism in Eukaryota, Metazoa, Chordata, Amphibia, Anura, Myobatrachidae.
CAUUACACAGCCCUGGCAACGAUCAUGACACCCGUCCCAGAGCUUGAAAACCCUGGCAACCAGCAUGACACCCAGUGCGUGAAACCCUUGGCAAUGAGCAGAGCUAGAAAAUUUGGAGCAGGCAAUGUACAUUCGGUUCCAGCUCUUAUUUGAUUUUAUUGGAAAAGAUUCUUUGUGGUGUUAAAGUCCCUCACCUCUUCCACUGAAAGCGAUGGAGUCCUACUGGCCACCGGUCAGAAGCGAAGUGGAGGAACCAGAGGACGGCAGGUCCAGGCUGGGGGAGAUCUGCAGACCGUAAAGUUUGAGAUGACAUGUGCAAUGACCAGACCAGAGGUUCUAAAUACUGAUAAGAGGGAGAUGGCCGGAUCAAUUACCUGAUGGAAAGUAAAAGAAGUCCACAUGUGUAUAUAACUAAGCCAAAACUUCCUGGCUAGUCAUAAAGCUGUCCAGGGGUGACAAGGUGCAGUUCCUCCCAGACCUCACUCUCUAUGAAGGAGAUUUCAAUGCCUUUGGGCUACACCCUCUCCCCUUCUCCUGUGCUUCUUUCUAUCAUCAACAAAAUGUAAACCUGGUGUAGGUAUAGUGUCCAGCAGGGAAUUAGUUAAAAAUACCAAGGGAGGGAGCCUGAUGAAGCUGGAGACUAUGUCUGUCCCUCUCAUGAAAAUAGAAGGUGUGAUCUGUUGGGGAAACAGUACAUGCUGGAGAUCACCUGAGUAAUCCUGUGAAAUCCCCCACAGCAGAAAUACUUAAAACUUGUUUGCGUAAGUGAAUAGGGUUUCUGUAAGCUUUUAUUUCCUUUUCAUUUAUUAAGAUUGCUAUAUUCUGUGUGUUUUUAAAAUAUUCUUAAUAAUCUUUGUAACCUUUUUAACUAA